RNAcentral lists this ribosomal RNA (440 nucleotides) under uncultured bacterium. Its description in RNAcentral is "partial 16S ribosomal RNA". It matches the Rfam family "Bacterial small subunit ribosomal RNA", at positions 338 to 795 of the family's 1533-position model. The record is from RNAcentral.
CCUACGGGUGGCAGCAGUGGGGAAUAUUGCACAAUGGGGGAAACUCUGAAGCAGCGACGCCGCGUGAGUGAUGAAGGAAUUCGGUAUGGAAAGCUCUAUCAGUAGGGAAGAAAAUGACGGUACCUGAGUAAGAAGCCACGGCUAACUACGUGCCAGCAGCCGCGGUAAUACGUAGGGAGCAAGCGUUAUCCGGAUUUACUGGGUGUAAAGGGGGCGUAGACGGCAGGGCAAGUCUGGAGUGAAAGGCGGGGGCUCAACCCCCGGACUGCUCUGGAAACUGUACGGCUGGAGUGCAGGAGAGGUAAGUGGAAUUCCUAGUGUAGCGGUGAAAUGCGUAGAUAUUAGGCGGAACACCAGUGGCGAAGGCGGCUUACUGGACUGUAACUGACGUUGAGGCUCGAAAGCGUGGGGAGCAAACAGGAUUAGAUACCCCUGUAGUC